CCCACCCUUGGAAAGGGUGGGCUACUUUCGGCCGUCCCUGCGGGACU
This 47-nucleotide small RNA is filed under the name Planctomyces sp. SH-PL14. Its description in RNAcentral is "Acido-Lenti-1 RNA". It matches the Rfam family "Acido-Lenti-1 RNA". Lineage: Bacteria; Pseudomonadati; Planctomycetota; Planctomycetia; Planctomycetales; Planctomycetaceae. The record is from Rfam by way of RNAcentral.